CGAGCAGAACCAUAACAGAAAUCAUAUUCGUGUUGUUUGGUGACAAAGUUCGAACUUUAAAAAUAUAUACAAUGUACACAAAUCCAUUCAGCCGAACUCACAGCCAAGUGAGACAAGUUAUUGAUCGUUUCCUGCUCAUCGUCAGUGACAAAAAGAGUGAUAACUGCGGGUUGAAGAGGAACAGUUCUGUUAAAUCUUCAACCUCUUCCUCUAGCACCAGUUCCUCAAUCGGCAGAUCUCGAAGUUCUUCUACCAACGUCCGGAAGCUUGAUCAGUUCAACAAAUGAAGGAUGGUUUCGCCUUGCCUUGGAUUUGUUGACAUUCUAAUUGGGUGUGUUUCAAAUGAAACUAUCGAAUGACAUUCCACGGGCUGUUGGAUGACUCGAAAAUAUCAACAAGUAAUUCUGAUACUGCAGAAAAUCCUCCUAGAAGUGGGAAUGCAAGAAAAACAGAAAACCUCGAUAUGUUUCUUUGAGGUGUUCUACUACUGUUUACUGUACAAACUAGAACAGAAACUUGAUUUUGUAGUACAAUUUCUAACUGUUUUGAAUAAAGCAUAAAAAAAACUGAUGAA
Leptinotarsa decemlineata (Colorado potato beetle) is the source of this 574-nucleotide long non-coding RNA. RefSeq lists it as uncharacterized. Lineage: Eukaryota; Metazoa; Arthropoda; Insecta; Coleoptera; Chrysomelidae. The record is from RefSeq and is a predicted model, not a curated record.